Molecule: ribosomal RNA, 520 nt
Filed under: uncultured Entrophospora
Lineage: Eukaryota; Fungi; Glomeromycota; Glomeromycetes; Entrophosporales; Entrophosporaceae
Description: SSU rRNA
Rfam family: Eukaryotic small subunit ribosomal RNA
Source: RNAcentral
AGCAGCCGCGGUAAUUCCAGCUCCAAUAGCGUAUAUUAAAGUUGUUGCAGUUAAAAAGCUCGUAGUUGAAUUUCGGGAUUGACACAUCGGUCGUGCCUUAAGGGGCAUGAACUGGUGUAGUCAAUUUCUCACCUUCUGGAGAACCGCGAUGCCCUUAAUUGGGUGUCGCGGGGAACCAGGACCUUUACUUUGAAAAAAUUAGAGUGUUUAAAGCAGGCAUUUUGCUUGAAUACAUUAGCAUGGAAUAAUAAAAUAGGACGGCAUGAUUCUAUUUUGUUGGUUUCUAGGAUCACCGUAAUGAUUAAUAGGGAUAGUUGGGGGCAUUAGUAUUCAAUUGUCAGAGGUGAAAUUCUUGGAUUUAUUGAAGACUAACUACUGCGAAAGCAUUUGCCAAGGAUGUUUUCAUUAAUCAAGAACGAAAGUUAGGGGAUCGAAGACGAUCAGAUACCGUCGUAGUCUUAACCAUAAACUAUGCCGACUAGGAAUCAGACGAUGUUAAUUUUUUAAUGACUCGUUUGGC